RNAcentral lists this ribosomal RNA (275 nucleotides) under uncultured Alicycliphilus sp. RNAcentral's name for it is "partial 16S ribosomal RNA". It matches the Rfam family "Bacterial small subunit ribosomal RNA", at positions 257 to 524 of the family's 1533-position model. The record is from RNAcentral. Lineage: Bacteria; Pseudomonadati; Pseudomonadota; Betaproteobacteria; Burkholderiales; Comamonadaceae.
AUAAAAGCUUACCAAGCCGACGAUCUGUAGCUGGUCUGAGAGGACGACCAGCCACACUGGGACUGAGACACGGCCCAGACUCCUACGGGAGGCAGCAGUGGGGAAUUUUGGACAAUGGGCGAAAGCCUGAUCCAGCCAUGCCGCGUGCAGGAUGAAGGCCUUCGGGUUGUAAACUGCUUUUGUACGGAACGAAAAGGUGCCUUCUAAUAAAGGGCGCUCAUGACGGUACCGUAAGAAUAAGCACCGGCUAACUACGUGCCAGCAGCCGCGGUAAU